This 809-nucleotide long non-coding RNA is filed under the name Nicotiana benthamiana. RNAcentral describes it as "long non-coding RNA (NBEN_LNC033389)". Lineage: Eukaryota; Viridiplantae; Streptophyta; Magnoliopsida; Solanales; Solanaceae. The record is from RNAcentral.
UAUGCCUACCUCACAUGAAAUACACUCUCGGAAUUCAUGUCAAACGAACAAAUGAGAAAAUGUCAUGUGUAAUUUUAAUUAAAAAAUUGCCACCUAUUAUAAAACAAAAACAAUAAAAGCAAUAAUAAUAAAUAAACACCAGAGACCUAGACCCCUCCCAGCCGCCCCCUUUCUUCUUCAACCAAGAGCAGACCCUAAUCCCCCUAAAAAUUCCAGUCGUCAAACCUCCUCUUCAAGGUGUCACUGCUUCUGUCCAAAUGACCCUUUCUUCCCAGAAGUGCCUUUAGCCGUUUCCAAACAGCCACUGACGCUGUAAUAUCCAUGGACGCUGGCAACAACUAUGACUGCCGGCAACAAUCAUGAACCACUUCCUGUUUAUCACCAUGUUGCUUAAAAAUUUUGAAUUUUUGGAGUCUGUUGUUUUUGCUUCUGAGUCGAGUUUUAGAAGUAGCUGAUGUAACCGUGGCAGUAGCGUUGUUGUUCGUUGUCCUUAUUUGCUAGCCGAAUUUUUGUUGAAAAAUCUGUUCCGGCCAGCUCUAUUAAUUUCAGCUGAAGACACCAUUGUUUCACCACUAAUUUUUGCCUCUUGGGAUUGGCUGAAGAGGAAUGAAUGAAAUUAACUUGUGCAGUGAAUAGUUUCAUACUGUUUUCAAUGGUUUCUAUACGAGGGGUUUCAAUGGUUUCUACUGUUUUGCACAUUCACUAUCAUAGUAAAGUUAUUGUGUCGAGAAUGGUGGGUUAAGGUGCAGUGAAUAGCGGAAGAAAAUUUUUGAAAAGAUAGAGUGAGGAAAAGUGGGCUCCACCAGUUA